Molecule: small RNA, 79 nt
Filed under: Hafnia paralvei
Lineage: Bacteria; Pseudomonadati; Pseudomonadota; Gammaproteobacteria; Enterobacterales; Hafniaceae
Description: isrK Hfq binding RNA
Rfam family: isrK Hfq binding RNA
Source: RNAcentral
GCACCUGCAAAAUCAGGUGUCGGGAUUCGCCUCCUGCUGAAUAAACCGCGACCAGAUACACGCCGCGAGCGUGUUUUUU